AGAGAGAAGAAAGAAAGAAAGAAAGAAAGAAAGAAAGAAAGAAAGAAAGAAAGAAAGAAAGAAAGAAAGAAAGAUGGAUGACAACUUCAGGAGUUAUCCUGGAAUGGAUUUGUGACAGAGGGAGAAAAAAGUACCUAUUAAGAACACUGUUAGGACAAUGGAAGAAAUUUAAAUAUGGACUGUGGAUUAGAUAGUAGUCUUACAUCAAUGUUAAGAUUUGUUUUUUAUAAUUGUCCUGUAAUGUACAGGAGUAUUGCAACUCUAAGUUUGAAAUUAUUCCCAAUUAUAUCAAAAUUAAAAGUGGCUGAUAAAUAAAAGUAACCAAAGUAAGACAAAUAGGAAGAAAACAAUAGAAUGAUUGAUAAAACUUUAUAUUUUUUUAUAUUCUGAUAAUUAUAUACACUAGGUGAUUAAGGAAGAAAAUUAGUAAGUAUUUUACUAUUUGAUAAAAGAAUAGUAUGGAUUCCUUGUAGCAUAUCUCCAGGGGCAUCAUAGUUGAUUAGUAUUAUUUUUUUUUUUUUAAAUUAAAGAGAAUCUCUCAGGGUCUUGCAUAAGAAGAUUUGGCUAAUACUUUAAGAGUUUAUUAACUUAUGCUCAAACUAAUCUUGAAUUACAAUAUAAAUCCUUUGAAAGAAUAUUGAUAGUCAUGUAAAUUCUGUAUAAAUUCAUUGCCACUGUAUUUUAAAUAUUCUCCCUUGAUAUCCUUAAUCCCCGUGUAUUAUAGACCAAUGCUGAUGUCUUAACAAGAAUAGAAAGAAUACUGAUUGUUAGUGGUUUUGAAUGAUACCUAGCUUCAAGCAAAGGUGCAAGAUGAGAAAAGAGGCUGUGGUGAGAAAAGAUUGUAACAGGACCUACUUAAAAGUUCAGGGGUCAGAAGCAGGAACCAAAGGAGACACCCCAAUGGCCACCAGGAGCAGUGAGCAACCUUGUGUAGAUACCUCUUAUGCCCGUGAGCUUGCUGCUUUCUCACCAUCUCUGGAGGUCAUGAGUAAGUCCUUCUCAGAUCCUGGAUUCUACCUCUGUGGCUUUUGCAUUUUGAGCUUUCAGACUUUAUUUAAGCAUUUCUCUUUCUGGACGCAGUCAGAUUGGGUCCAGAUGAGACUGUUUCUGACUUAGAAACCACACUGCAUCCAGUGUGAGGCAUCAGGUGAAUAAAAUUUUGAGGCUGAAUAAGUAACGUUAACCU
This 1186-nucleotide long non-coding RNA is filed under the name Felis catus (domestic cat). Its description in RNAcentral is "lncRNA (ENSFCAG00000050124.1)". Lineage: Eukaryota; Metazoa; Chordata; Mammalia; Carnivora; Felidae. The record is from RNAcentral.